Molecule: transfer RNA, 84 nt
Filed under: Candidatus Berkiella cookevillensis
Lineage: Bacteria; Pseudomonadati; Pseudomonadota; Gammaproteobacteria; Candidatus Berkiellales; Candidatus Berkiellaceae
Description: Legionella-like amoebal pathogen CC99 tRNA
Rfam family: tRNA
About the family: Transfer RNA (tRNA) molecules are approximately 80 nucleotides in length. Their secondary structure includes four short double-helical elements and three loops (D, anti-codon, and T loops). Further hydrogen bonds mediate the characteristic L-shaped molecular structure. tRNAs have two regions of fundamental functional importance: the anti-codon, which is responsible for specific mRNA codon recognition, and the 3' end, to which the tRNAs corresponding amino acid is attached (by aminoacyl-tRNA synthetases). tRNAs cope with the degeneracy of the genetic code in two manners: having more than one tRNA (with a specific anti-codon) for a particular amino acid; and 'wobble' base-pairing, i.e. permitting non-standard base-pairing at the 3rd anti-codon position.
Source: Rfam by way of RNAcentral
GCCGAGGUGGUGAAAUUGGUAGACACGCAAGCUUCAGAUGCUUGUGGGGGUAACCCCGUGAAGGUUCGAGUCCUUUUCUCGGCA